Molecule: non-coding RNA, 1571 nt
Organism: Theobroma cacao (cacao)
Lineage: Eukaryota; Viridiplantae; Streptophyta; Magnoliopsida; Malvales; Malvaceae
Source: RefSeq, a predicted model, not a curated record
CAAAAAAGGGUCAAGCAAUCCCAAAACACCUACCGGUCCUCUCCUUUCUUUCCCAACCAAUUUUCCACCGUUAAACACCAAAUCAGAAAUGCUGGAUCAGGCUCUCAUGAUUCUUCAUCAACAUCAACGAUCAUGAUGGCAAAGAGCAGUUAAUCCACCAUACUCCCACCCUCACGUUGUCAUUUCGUUUUGUCACGAACAUAAUUGAAGCGGCGCACCUUGGACGCAGACGACCACUCUUUUCGCGUUGUGCUCUACUCUUCGUCUUCCCUUUCCACAACACCAAGUGAAAGACCUCGGAAAACUGCCCCAUAAAGAGCAUUAGAUGGGAACUGGAGAUGAAGUAGUGGAAAUCGAGAGCUUAGAGAGAAGUUUGUUGUCGGAGUCUAUUACCGGAGAAGAAGGUACGGAGGCAGAGGAUGAGUCGGUUCUUUACACGGCGUCGUUUCAGGAGAUGGAAGAGAAUUUCGUCAAAUAUCAGACGGCUCAAUGGGUUUUGUUUUCAUUGCUUUUGAUACUAGCUUGGGGUAUUGGCUUGUUCAUGCUCCUAUACAUUCCCGUUCGAAGAUAUAUUCUCCGUAAAGAUAUUCGAUCCCGAAAGCUCUAUCUCACUCCAAACUCCAUCGUUUACAAAGUAACAAGGCCAGUUCCAUUUCCAUGUUUUGGGGUUUUAAAGAAGGAGAAGCAUGUUCUACUGCCUUCAGUUGCGGAUGUUGUAAUUGAACAAGGAUAUCUGCAGUCCCUUUUUGGUGUAUACUCUCUUAGAAUUGAGAAUGUUGGUGUAAGAAGGCCGCCGAAUGAUGAUGUGCAAAUUCAAGGCAUUGCAAAUCCAAGUGCUUUUAGGAAGGCUGUUUUGACACGCCUUUCAAAUAUGAGGACCCAAGUUUUCUCUCGACAGGUGUCUGCAAUUGAAGAUACUCCAAAUUUUAGGAUUCAUUCACCAGCUUCUUGGCUUUCUCCACCAAGGUCUAAGCUUGAUGCUAUCCCUCAUUCAGGGGAUCUUGCAUUAUUACAAAAACUAGAGGAGGUUGGGAGCUCUGUGAAGGUAAAGCAAGCAUUAUAUGUUUUUUUUGUCUUUAACAGUAUUUAUGCAUCUGCUCUUGGACUUUGAUUUGAUUUUCACUGCAGAGAGUUCAAUCUUUGAUUGAGGAACAACAUGGUCAAACAUCAGAAACAGCUGAUUGAGUGCGGGCAAACUAAGCAUCAUUCAAGGCUUCUUAGUGCAGCAGUCAGGAGUCAAGAAGGCAUUUGAAUCUUUUUUCUCACAAGAUGCCAUUCGAAAGUACUACUUAUCCUACAAAUAUUUCUGGAUCAAGUUUUGAGUGAGAUAUAUUUACACUUCUUUGUGAUCUUUCCUGAGGCUACAACCCUCGUGCUGCUAUAUUGUUGUCCAUCAUUCAAUUUGUAAUUUCUCAUGCACAAUUAGGAAAAGAAAAAUAAAUCUUCUCCAUUUAUGCGUGCUGGUUUCACAACUGUCUACUUCAUUCCUUUGUAAAUUCAUUUGCUCUCACUCUAAUUCAUGGAGUUUGUAUUAUACUGUUAUAUUAAUCAUCAUGUUUAUUGUUUAGUAA